Molecule: ribosomal RNA, 428 nt
Filed under: Leptobrachium bompu
Lineage: Eukaryota; Metazoa; Chordata; Amphibia; Anura; Megophryidae
Description: partial 12S ribosomal RNA
Rfam family: Bacterial small subunit ribosomal RNA
Source: RNAcentral
CCAAAGGACUUGGCGGUGCCCUACACCACCUAGAGGAGCCUGUUCUAUAAUCGAUAAUCCACGAUUCACCUCACCACUUCUUGCCUAAACCGCCUAUAUACCGCCGUCGUCAACUUACCCUUUGAAGGACUAAUAGUAAGUUUAAAAGUAAACACUCAAACGUCAGGUCAAGGUGUAGCGUAUGGAGCGGGAAGAAACGGGCUACAUUUUCUAUUUUAGACCAUACGGAUAAUCAGUAUGAAACCUGACUAGGAAGGAGGAUUUAGUAGUAAAAAGAAAUCAGCAAGUUCUUUUUAACACGGCCCUAGGGCGCGCACACACCGCCCGUCGCCCUCUUCGACUCUUUCACAUUUAUUUUAUAAUUCGAUAUUGGAGGCAAGAAGAGGUAAGUCGUAACAUGGUAAGUAUACCGGAAGGUGUGCUUGGCU